GUGACUUGUAUGCAAAUUAUUAAAUUUAAAAUGUAUGUUUGUGGGUUUAAUUAUUAUUCAAAUUUUUGCCAUGUUGUUUAUGUCAUAAUUACAACGUAAAUAAUAAUUAUAAUAAUAGUAAUAAUUAUAGUAAUGAACACGAGUUUGUAAAAUCACAUCACACCGAAAUUAUCCGGCGUGUCAAGGUGAUAAUUGCGCAGUAACUCAACUGCACCUACAUGUCGCUGGCAAAGUACUGCGAUCUAUAAUCGACCCGACUAGUAAUCUAUACUUAUCCCACAUUGUAAUAACCCUAAUAAGUAUUAAAUAAGUGAACCACAAUUCAAAUUAAAACAAUAACAAUAAUACCAAUAAAUCAAUUUUUUUAAAGAGAAAUUUGGAAACCUUCAGAGCAUUGGUCAUUUUCAAUCCUAUAAGAUGUCAGUUUUUUGACAUAUCUAAAAUGCACCAAUAUGUCGACAAAAUGAUUUGUCACUGAAAAAAAAAUCUGCUCAAAAAACUUGACACAAGUGGAGACAAAAAGAAAAAUAACACAAAUUUUCUAUCACUCUGAGGACCAACAUCUGUACAUCUUAUUUAUAUGAAAAAACUUGACUUUGAGACACAAGAAAAUUUGUCGUCUUUUAAAAAGACAUUUAUGACAUCUUAAACUUGUCUCUGUUGGAAUGGCACAUCCGUCAUUUCACAGACGUGUCAUUUAAGGAUUAACAUACUUCUUAUAACGUCAAUAAUCGGAGCUUUCACUUUACAUUUACAUUCAUAAAUAUGAUUCGAGUAAUAAGAUAAAAUAUAAAAUUAAGUGAUACUGAUGAGAUAAAUAGCCCCCGCACCUCUUUCUGCAUUUUAUUUUAUGUUUUUUUUACAAUUUUUAGACGAUUUGAUAGAGCUAACGAUGAUGCAUAAAAAUAAAGUAAGCAAUGAUGCAACUGUUGAAAUAAAUGGUAAUAAAAAUUAUAUAGUAAUUAAAAAAAAUAGAAAGAGGCUUGUUAGAGGGGCGCCUUACCCACAGUACCGGUAUAUCUCCCAGUAUAAGUGAGGGCUGGGAAAUAAAAAAUUUCAGUAAGUGUUUAAAUUUUAAUAAAUUAAUUUUAUAAAAAAAAUAAUCUAGCCAAAGAUACUAAUUAUUAAAUAAUUGUUAGUUUACACUCCUUAGUUAUUAAAUAAAUUGUAAUACUUACUUGUCUUCAGCCACCCUACGACAUUCUUCUUCAUACUUCUGGACAGCUGACGGCAUCAUUUGUUCAAUUAUCCCCUUCAACCUGAAACGACAUCGAACUUUACGAGCGUGGGUAAACUCUGACUCAAUCGCGGACAUUAACAGAUGAUCAAUAAAUUUUUUUUUUUUUAAUAAAUAAAAUGAAAUUUAUUUUCAUACCUUUC
Molecule: long non-coding RNA, 1380 nt
Organism: Microplitis mediator
Lineage: Eukaryota; Metazoa; Arthropoda; Insecta; Hymenoptera; Braconidae
Exons: 3
Source: RefSeq, a predicted model, not a curated record